Molecule: long non-coding RNA, 420 nt
Organism: Pomacea canaliculata
Lineage: Eukaryota; Metazoa; Mollusca; Gastropoda; Architaenioglossa; Ampullariidae
Exons: 3
Source: RefSeq, a predicted model, not a curated record
UUUACAGAACAUUUCCGGGUGUCAACACAAGUUUAUCAUCGCCCGGACUGACCUCAACAGUUUCUGAUCCCCACCCGGACAGCAUCACAGGAACAUCCAAGCGGCCUGAGGUCAACUCUUAGUGUCGUACCAUCUCAACCAGGCCAGCAUCAUGUGUGUGUGGACAUCAAAGACCAGAGCGGUGUGAACUCCGACACUGUUUGCUACCUCAUCAACAGCGUCCCUAAGCAAGGAUCGACUAAUAACGGAAGUACAAUACCACCAAUAAAUGGAGGCCGUUUCGCGGACACUACACCAGCGAAUGGCUCACAGAUAGUUUGUCAUUCUUCAAGACCUUGCCGCUUCAUAUCCUACACUGAACAGCCUGCCAACACUCCCUGGUGAGUCAUUUCUGGGACUGUGUUUCAGUAUAUAUAUACA